GGAGUCUUAGCUCAGCUGGUUAGAGCACCCGGCUCAUAUCCGGACGGCCCUGGGUUCGAACCCCAGAGACUCCA
RNAcentral lists this transfer RNA (74 nucleotides) under Caudoviricetes sp. RNAcentral describes it as "tRNA-Met". It matches the Rfam family "tRNA". From Rfam's summary of the family: Transfer RNA (tRNA) molecules are approximately 80 nucleotides in length. Lineage: Duplodnaviria; Heunggongvirae; Uroviricota; Caudoviricetes. The record is from RNAcentral.